GAUGAACGCUAGCGAUAGGCUUAACACAUGCAAGUCGAGGGGCAGCACAAGGUAGCUUGCUAUCUGGGUGGCGACCGGCGCACGGGUGCGUAACGCGUAUGCAACUUGCCCUAUACAGGAGGAUAACCCGUCGAAAGACGGACUAAUACUGCGUAUGCUCACAACUUGGCAUCAAGUGGUGAGGAAAGAAAUUCGGUAUAGGAUAGGCAUGCGUCCCAUUAGCUUGUUGGUGAGGUAACGGCUCACCAAGGCAGCGAUGGGUAGGGGAACUGAGAGGUUUAUCCCCCACACUGGUACUGAGACACGGACCAGACUCCUACGGGAGGCAGCAGUGAGGAAUAUUGGUCAAUGGGCGCGAGCCUGAACCAGCCAAGUCGCGUGAAGGAUGACUGUCUUAUGGAUUGUAAACUUCUUUUAUACGGGAAUAACAAGAGUCACGUGUGACUCCCUGCAUGUACCGUAUGAAUAAGCAUCGGCUAACUCCGU
This 486-nucleotide ribosomal RNA is filed under the name uncultured bacterium. Its description in RNAcentral is "partial 16S ribosomal RNA". It matches the Rfam family "Bacterial small subunit ribosomal RNA", at positions 28 to 506 of the family's 1533-position model. The record is from RNAcentral.